GCAAACUUGGUCAUUUAGAGGAAGUAAAAGUCGUAACAAGGUCUCCGUUGGUGAACCAGCGGAGGGAUCAUUACCGAGUGUUUCACUCCAAACCCACUGUGAACCUUACCACUGUCGUUGCUUCGGCGGGCGUCCGCGCCCGCCGGCGGCACCCAAACUCUUCUAUAUCUCUAGAGUCUCCUCUGAGUAACCGAUUUAAACAAAUCAAAACUUUCAACAACGGAUCUCUUGGCUGUGGCAUCGAUGAAGAACGCAGC
Molecule: unclassified non-coding RNA, 257 nt
Filed under: uncultured fungus
Lineage: Eukaryota; Fungi
Description: partial contains small subunit ribosomal RNA, internal transcribed spacer 1, and 5.8S ribosomal RNA
Rfam family: Eukaryotic small subunit ribosomal RNA (bases 1-73)
Source: RNAcentral